GAUUGACAAAUGGCGGGAAAAUUCCACGAGGUUAGCGUAAAUACAGGUAAAUUUGGUAACAAAAGACAAAUGUACACUACAAUUCGAUUUACGACACAAAUGCCUCUCUAAAUGAAUAUUUAAAGUUUGUUUUACAAUGAAGAUGAAAUGAGGUUAAAGUACUAAUUAAAGUAAUUUUCUCAAAGAUGAUGAAGAGAAAAAUGUUCAGACUAUAAAAAAAGUUUAUUUUAUAUUUAUAAAUUUUCAAAUUAAUUUUGGAAAAGAAAAAAAAAUGUCAAUAAUUAAUAAUCACAAAUUAUGAGAAAUAUUAUUAAAGUGUUGUAAAAAAACCUACUAAAUUUUAAUACUUUUUUAAAUACCUGUAAAAAAACUGAGUUACAUGGGGUGUGGCAGGAAUCGCAGCAUUUAAAACUUUUUUUGUGUUCAUUUUGAAAAAAAAAAAAUUUUGUUCAAGAAUCUCAAAUUUUAAGAAACAUUUUUAUGAGAAGUGCAACACAAAUGUGGUCAGUGGCGGAUCCAGGGGGGGGGGGGGGGUUGGGGUUCCGGGGGUGCGCACCCCCCUUUAUUUUUGCCGAUCAAUGCAUUUGUAUCGGGACAUAUGUUUUGCACCCCCCUGCACCCCCCCUUUGCCCUGGGUUAGCACCCCCCCUUUCGAAAAUUCCUGCAUCCGCCCUAGUCCAAAUAAUUAUGACGUCUUGAAAGGCUAUUAUAAUUUUUUUCUUUGACGCCUUACUUCGUCGAAGUAAGGCGUCAAAGAAAAAAAUUAUAAUAGCCUUUCAAGACGUCAUAAUUAUUUGGACUACAUCCGCCCCUGUGUGGUACAGUUGAACUUAAAAGGCUUAUAUCUAUCUUUAUAUGGCAUUUCAGAAUUAUUUUUUUUUGCUUGGAUUUCAAUGAAAAAUGAUUCAAAAAUGAUAUAAGAUAAGAUAAGAUAAGAUAAGAUAUUUUUAUUUCCAAUUAUGGGCCCCAAAGGGCAUAAACAUUACAACAUCAAUAAUUUUUCAUAAUACAAUACAAACAAUGAGAUAAAAAAAAAAAAAAAAAAGUUAAACGAGAACUAUUUAAGUUCUUAAAGAAUACGUAGAUAAAGAAUCUAUAGUAUGUUAUAAACAUAACCUUUUGAAAAUCAUGUUCAUUGGAAAUUCCUGGCUAUGGGCCUCUGUAUUGCAUUUUUUGUAUCAGAACUAAGUUUUUAGUUGCAUAUAAAUAUAACAACAUAUGGUAUAUAACUAUAAUUGCCAAUAUUAGACAACUAUCCAGCAGGGACCAAAAGAAUAAAUACACCCAAAAUGUGCAAGCCUGUCUCUUUAUGAUAUCUUAGUUUCUAGUAUAAAAUCUAGUCUGUCUUUUUCGGAACAAUCUCAGGUAAAUGGUCAUGAUAUAUAGAUCAUCCUAUCCUAUCAAGUCUUUGCCGUGGCAAAAGUUUUAAACUUUACGUUUAACAUGCUGUAAAAUUCUAAAAAUGCUUGCUUGCAUUUAUCAUUGUAGAUUGAUUAAAGUUAACAAAUUGAAGGACAUUAAUUUUGGAUGGAAAUAAUAAUCUCAAUUUUUGUGAAAAGCUACUUUUUUUUUUGGCAAAACCUCUCCCAUGCAAUUUUCCCGGAUCUACAGAUUUUUGGAAAGUUUGCUAUAGCUUGCUAUUGCUACUUUCCAUUUCCAUCGGCCUCAAACUUAUGGUGACAGAUUAUCGCCAUUUAUUCUGAUCCGAGAUAAUUUAGUACUAGUACUAGUGUUUGAAUUCUGAUUCUUGGAAGGUUCUUUUAAAAUUUUGAGUAACUUCUCAUUUGACUGAAAAGAUUACAGCUUGAAUAAAAAAGAAUUGAAUGUUCACCGACGAUUCAGAUGAAUUUAACUUCAUUUUGAAAAUGAGUAUCUCAAACACUACUUCGCGGAUCUGCCAUACGCUGAAGAGAAAAUCACAAGAAAUCUACGCCAGAUUGCGUCAGUUUCAUUCAUGAAAAUUUCAUGAAUGAACAUUUUCCACUCUACUUUUACCUGUUUACUAUGUACGUACGUAAACGUGGUAAAAGCCCGAGAGUAUCGAAAAAAUCGGGAAUGUGACCAAGCCGUCGGAUAAUUGACAAGUGAUAAUGGUUUGUUAUAACAAAACACAGGUGAUAGAAUAUAAAAUACUCGAUAAUUAUAUGUCUAAUGUCUCAGUAAUAGACGAGUACAGGUAAAUACGGUACCGGCUUUCAUAAAAAAAAAUAGUUUUAAAAUGCAUUGUGUUUGUCUAAACAUUGAUCGAAAGGUUUUGAUGCCAAAAAUCAUUUGAAAACUUUUAAUUCCGUUAUUUAAAUACAUUCCAAUGUGGAUAUAAGAGCCUUCGCUCGUUCAGCAUGCUCAAGUGGAUCAAACUGACAGCAGAAAAACAUUGACCCAACGUCAAUUCUUCUUCAGUCUUCCUCCAAUAAUUUACAUCAUACCACCUCUGGUGUAUUAUCGCAAAUUCGUAUCAUAUAGCAUCCAUAUUAAAAACAACCGAGUUAGCAUCUACUUAAUCUUAGAAUAACCAUGGAAGUAAUAUUGAAUUUAAAUAUUACUUCCAUGGAAUAACAUAGCUCAGGAUAUGAAGACAAGUGCUGUAGAAAUGAUUUCAUGAAAUUAUGAUGAUGUGUACCCUUUGGCUAAAAUGGCUGCAUUUUCACCUCAAAAUUUAUAUAGAUUACAGACAAACACGUGCAUAGUAUGCCCUAUUUAAAUAGAAAUGUAAUUGCUUUGUCAUCCAAACACAGAGGCAAUGAUUACCAUAAAUAUCACAAACGAAUGGCUUACAACAAAAAAUUAUGAAUCUAGCGUAUAUAAACUUUUUAUUCCUGUGGUCAUACUGCUGUUGUUAUGCUCCCACCGUAUUGAGUUUUAUCCUUGUUCUUCUGUAAGUAUGUACAUUCUUCCCUUACUUAUAAGUACCUCUGUAUAUAUCCCAAAAUUCGUUUCUGUUCUCUUACUUUAGCUUGCCUGAACCAAAUUGUAUGAAACUGAUACGCAAUGCUUAUAACCACAAUUCACAAGUCAAAUUUGAAUUUUAGUUGCGUAACUUUUACCAUUUUAGCGUUUAAUGCUACUUUACAAAAAGAAAAGUUGCUGUAAAUUUAAGUUUCUGUUCUCUAAGUAUAGUUUGUCUUAACCAAAUGUUAUGAAACUUAUACACAAUUCUCAUUACCACAAACACUGAUCAAGUUUGAAUUUUGGUGGAUUUAUUUUUACUGCUCUAGGGUUGUGCCGUGUUACAAAUGAAACCAGAUGCUCUGCAGGGCAAAGCUUUAUACGACCGCAGAAGUCGAACCCUGAACAGUUGGGACAAGUAUGGCCACAACAUUCAGAGCUCCAGAUAAGAAUUCACAAAUUGGGUUUUUUACCCACCAUUUUCAUAUAUAAUUGGGUGAUAAAGUUUUCUAAUUGCAUUAUCAAUUCCAAUUCACCCCUCAUGUUAAUAUCAAAUUGGGUUUUUCACCACCAAGCUCCUUAAUGUAUUGGGUUUUUCAUCAACACAAUAUGAAUAUUUAGGAACACAAUAUGAAUAUUUAGGCAAUAGCAACCCCAGAUUUUUUUCCAUCUUAAAUAUGUUUCUUUCUUUGUUUAGCUGUUUUAUUUGGUUUAGGGUUAGGGUUAGGGCGAGGGUUAUGGUAAUUUGCUAGCUGUUUUAUUUGGUUUAUUUCACUGAGGAGCAAUUGUAGGUUUAAUUUGUGUUCCGUUUUAAACCUUCUGCCAGUUUUGUAUUUUCUCAUAUAAACUGUAAAAAAACGGAUAUGUGUAUUCACAGGCACUCGUCUUAUACCUUUAUAUAAUAAAUUCUGAGACCAGUGCCUGACUGUGUGUAUUCAUUAAUAAACCGUAAAACGAAGAAAAAAAAUAGUAUAUAAACUCUAAUUAUACUUGAAUGUUUUUGUUUUAUUCCAAUUUUCAUAAAUCUUGGUUUAGUAGAACUUUUGGUUUCUGAUGUUUUAUCAUGUUAUAAUUGAUUUGGCCUUUCACUUUUUCCAACUGAUUUCGUUUUUGAGGAAACCCUGUUUUUAUUAGCAAUGUGUAAGGUACGCACACACGCCCGUGUGUUCGAUGGAUGCUUCCUAAAAACACUGGCUGAGUCUUGUUAUCAUCAUAACUUUCCCUCAGCUUUUCAAAAGAAGCAGAAAACAUGCUUCUAUUCAAUAUUUUUAAUGAACGGACAUUCACUUUCGUUUUAAUUCAAUGUAUGUUAUGAUAAAUCCCGAGCAAUGCGAAAAAAUAUGACUACAUUACACACGCUAAUUGGAUAAACACCGAGAAGUUGGAAACGUUUUCAAAAACACGUGUACCUAUUGAGCAACGGAAAACUCUAACAGGGACCCAUUUCAGCUACUUGAUGCAGGGAUCUAUUUUUAGAACGAAAGGAAGUUUCCAAUUAUAAAUAUUAUAAAAAUAGUUGACGCGACGACUGUAAACAGAUAAUGGUAAAUAACGCAAAUGGUAGCCAAUAUAAGGGUUGAGAACUCAUGGUUUUGGCAUGUAAUUGGGUUUUCCUUUGAAUUAAUUGGGUUAUUGAACCCUGCAAUGGGCAAUUGCAUUGGGUUUUUUAUUAUUUGUAUUGCGUGAUUACGCAAAUACGCAGCUUAUCUGGAGCUCUGAACAUUCAAGCUUUAUACAGCUCUGACUUUGGAUUGCGAUCAAAUUGUUGACAUGACAUAUUGUUUUCUGACACAAAACAAAUUUCAAGAUCUUACAAUUCUAUUGCGCAAUACUGUAUAAUUAGAAUGAAUACACAAUGUUUAUUAACCCAUUAUUCAUAUCAAGUAAAAUUAAAUUUUGGUAGUGUCACAUUUACAGUUCUUGAGUUUAUAAUGCUAAUGCCCGCACCUUUUUUUUUCAAACAUAUUUUUUUUUUUUUUUUAUAAUCCCGCUUCCCGCAUCCGGAAAUGUAAUCAGUCCAUUUCCCGCACCAUUUUUUUUUUUAAAUAUUGUACAAAGAUAUCAACUUUUGUUUUUAAAAUCACAGUCUAACCGGUAUAACGAUUUUAAACACAAAAGCACCCUGUGAGAAUAUUUGUUUCAGCAUGAAACCUGUUUAUCCAAAGUGGGAGUGCUCCGAAAUAAAUUAACAACAGCGGAAAUACCUAUAAAGAACAAAAAAUUGGUUUCUUUCCCCCUUACUUAUUCGCUAUCAAAAAAUGUUCGUUGUUAGAAUAAAGUACAAAGAACUUCUGAAGGAUUUGCCUUCAACUGCAAUUAUAUUGUAUGCUGGCAAAACAAAACUAUCCAUAGCCGCUGCAUGUUUAUGCACCUGUCCUGAUUGAUUCAGGGGCCUGUCGUCAGCAGUUAUCGUUUGUUGAUGUUGUUCAUUGGUAUUUUCCCAUUUGGAUAUAUAAAUUAGAUCGUUGGUUUUCCUGUUCGAAUUGUGUACGCUAAUAAUUGUGGGGUCCUUUAUAGCUUGCUGUUUGGUCUGUAUCAAAGCCCGUACUUUGACCUGUGUUUGUUAUUAUCAGGUUGAGAACAACCCUCCCUCUGAAAAGGGGUCAUUUUACUGAUGUAAAAAAGAAAAUAUAAAUACCAAGGAUUUGUAUAGUUCUUCUAUACAAAACCUUUGAAAACUUAGAAUUUUGUACUCAAAAAGAGGAGAGUUACAUCAUAUUUUAAACAACUUUUUAUAAAAGAGGAGUCUAUUUAUUUUGAAUAAUAUUAAACUGUUAAAAAGUAAAUGUGUUAAUUUAACAUGGUUAAAGUCCAGGAAUAUUACAAAAUUCUUGGACAUGUUUUGACCAUUUAAUACCAGAUAGAUAUAUAGUUCUUUGAGAAAAUAUGAGCCCUUUUGUACAAACACAUAUAUUAUAACUUAUAUUGAUCCCUCAUAAAACAUGUAAAAGGGAUAUUUAUAACAAUAAGGGGUUGCCCCCAAACUGAUUAUGACUUGAUGGAGAAUUGUCUCAUUGUCAGUCACUCAUACAUAGACCAGAUUUAAUAAUUUCUUGGUGAACAGGGAAAAAAUACUUCAGAAAUUAAAGAAAUGUCAAGCUACACGUGAUAAAUCAAGUUUUAAUAUUGUCAAAACCUACUAUUUUAUGUUUACAAAAAAAAAAAUUAUAAUCGCCUUUACUUUUCAAGCUUCGCCUCAAAAAUUUGCAAAUUAAAUAUUUUUUUAUUAAAAUUUUCAAAUCGCUCGCUCGCCCCAAAUUUUGGAGUCCAAAAACCCGUAGAACAAGAAAUUAAAUUGGUGUGGCCUUAAUAUAAAUUCACUUUCUUUACAGUUGUCUUGAUUUAAGUUACUGUAACUGUCUUAUUUAUAAGUAAGGAUGCAGUAUUGUUUGCAAAGAACCAAUGCUAUCCAAAAGAGUUCAAAGAAUGAAAAUGUAUUCAUAACUAUAGUCCACAAUAAAGGUUGUCAAUAAUGAGAAAUGUUUGUACCACAUACAUGUAGAAAGCUUUAAAAGGCCCCGAUAUGAAACAUGUGGAACAAUUCAAACAAAAAAAACUUGCGUGUUAAUUUACUAAAAACAAAUAUGAAGGCCCUAAACCAAUAGAAAAAUACUAAUUCACAGGCCCUUGAAGUUGACAUGGCAUGGGUACUUAAAAAAAUUAACAGAGCUUUCUGCAUGUAUAUUUCAUUAUUUUAGAUCUACAGUUUAAGGUUGCAAUCAUGAGAAAAUAUCAAAACUUUUUAUGAUAAACAUAAAAAAGUGAUUUUUGAUAAUUACUGACGAGACAAUGGUUUAGUUUAAAACAUCAAAGCUGUGAUGAAAUACAUAUUUGAAAUAAUACACGUCUAUAACCUUUUUGGAAUAAUACACAGCUACAGUUGCAAACUUUCCAGAGGUGCUAUCCAGCACUUUGAUUUUUAUUGUAUCUCAGACCUGUUAUUUGAAUAAAAAGCUACCACUAAAUUAUGGAAAAAUGGAAUAUCCAUCAAACAUUAUCUCUGCUUACAUUACAGAAUUAAAAAAAAUUUAUCAGGGUAAUUCAAACCUUGGGAUAUGUUUCACUGCAGUAAGCAACAUACAUGCAUCACAAGAUGAACAUAUUGUCAUAACUAUAGUAACACUUUGUUUAGCAGAGAAUCAUAUUGAAAUUAAGCUGUAGAAUCUAUUUAGAUAAGCUUAUCCAUUUGUCUGUAUCAGCAUGGCUUGUGUCAGGUAGGAGUUUUUGUUGUAGGUAGAUAAAUACUACAUAGACGGAAGCACCUGUCUCAAUCAGGUGAAGACUGUAAAAAUGAUAUGUUACAUCUGACUUCUGUGUUUGAAAUUGGUAAAAAGAUAUCAGUUAUUUCUAUGCUCUUAUUUUCUUUGCAGUAAUUCCAGUAUGAAGGGAGAGUUGAAAGAUAUAAGAAUAUAAGUGAAUGACCAGUAUAUUUAUUGUAUCUUCCAUUUGUUGGAGGGUAAGCAUAUGCAGUAUAGAUCUUUCCAGUGGCAGAUCCAGAAAUUUUCAGAAGUGGGGGCCCACUGACUGACCUAAGAGGGGGCCCGCUCCAGUCACGCUUCAAUGAUUCCCUAUAUAAGCAACCAAUCUUUUCCCCAAAAAGGGGGGGGGGGGCCUGGGCCCCCCCUCUCAAUCCGCCUCUGCUACCAAUUAUCUACAUCAUACCAUAUCAUCUCAUUUUAUAUUACAGGAUCUUUUUGACUUUUUAUUGACACAUAUGACAUUUGAGAUAGCCUAAGAAAAGUUUCGGAAAAAAGAAGUUGAAAAGUCCUGGAAUAAUGUAGCUAGUUGAAUAGUUCUGGCAGAACAGAACAACUAGUUACAUCGUUCUGAAUAUACCAUAUUUUGUUCUUUUUGUAGAAAGAGGGGGAAGAAUGAGUAUCAGUAUAUAUAUAAGAGCAAAUCAUUAAUUUACAAGAAUACCCAAGGCACUGACUUGACUAAUUUGGCAAAAAGUAGUUGAUAUGUUCUGUUGGAACUUUUUAACAUGUCACUUUGUUCCGGUGGAACUUUUAAACCAGAGUUAGAACAAAGUAACUAGUUAAUAAAUUCCUCUGGAACUUUUCGGCAGUUAGUUCUUUCCGCCUGGAACUUUCCAACGUCGGAACAAAAGAGCAUUUACAUAUAUCAACCCCCCUCCUUUUGAUUGUCAAAAUAUUUUUAAAUUUUGUUUUUCAUGAAAUGUAUAAACCUUAAAGUUUAAAAAUAAAUCUUUCAAAUUUUGUUUAUAUAUACCCAGCAUUCAUACAUAGCAAAUUGCUCCCCCUUUUCUAAAAUCCUGGACCCUCCCUUGAUAUUAAGGUUAAAAGGGUUACAGUUAAAUAUUGAAAGUGAUUAUGAAUCAAUUACAUUCUUGUUAUCACAUUUUAUUUAGAAUCCAUCAACAAUAUAGAUAGUAUACUGAUACAAGCAAUAUUAUUCAACUGUUUAAAUAUUGGAAUAUAUGCAAAUUAGAUUAUGAAUAAGGUAACUUGAGGGGAGAUAACUGGACACAGACUUGUGGCUAUAGAUAAGACAGGGAGAUAGACAAUCUAUAUAGAUUAAACUUUAGAACCCUGCUGACUAUAUUUCCUCACCAGAUAUCAAUAAUUUCCAUAUACUUAAACAUUUACAUGAUGUAUGUAUAGUUAGUACUGUUUGGGAUACUGAGUUUUUGAUGGGGCACAAACAAGCACCUGUUCUGACAUUUUAUUGUUGAAGUUUAAGGAAUAGCCUUGCCAACUUUGUGUUGUAAUGUUGUAUUCUUUGUUGGCACAAGAUAAAUUUAAUGUUCUGUUUAAAUUUUGAUUUCUAUACAGACGGAAAUAGAAUUGCUGUGUUGAAUUGAUUGUGAAGGGUGAAUUAUUCUAUUGAUAAUGUGCAGAACUGAUUGAAAUUAAACUGGAAAAUAAACCACUGAAAAAGG
This 8788-nucleotide long non-coding RNA is filed under the name Mytilus galloprovincialis (Mediterranean mussel). The record is from RNAcentral. Lineage: Eukaryota; Metazoa; Mollusca; Bivalvia; Mytilida; Mytilidae.